AUGUAUACGGACUGACGCCUGCCCGGUGCUGGAAGGUUAAGAGGACCUGUUAACCCACUUUGUGGGUGAAGCGGAGAAUUUAAGCCCCAGUAAACGGCGGUGGUAACUAUAACCAUCCUAAGGUAGCGAAAUUCCUUGUCGGGUAAGUUCCGACCUGCACGAAUGGCGUAACGACUUCUCUGCUGUCUCAACCACGAACUCGGCGAAAUUGCAUUACGAGUAAAGAUGCUCGUUACGCGCAGCAGGACGGAAAGACCCCGAGACCUUCACUAUAGUUUGGUAUUGGGAUUCGGUGUGGUUUGUGUAGGAUAGGUGGAAGACUGGGAAGCCCUGACGCUAGUUGGGGUGGAGUCGAUCGGUGAAAUACCACUCUGACCAUAGUGGAUUCCUUAACUUCGGACCCUGAUCGGGUUCAGGGACAGUGCCUGAUGGGUAGUUUAACUGGGGCGGUUGCCUCCUAAAGAGUAACGGAGGCGCCCAAAGGUUCCCUCAGCCUGGUUGGCAAUCAGGUGUUGAGUGCAAGUGCACAAGGGAGCUUGACUGUGAGACUGACAGGUCGAGCAGGGACGAAAGUCGGGACUAGUGAUCCGGCACCGGCAAGUGGAAGCGGUGUCGCUCAACGGAUAAAAGGUACCCCGGGGAUAACAGGCUGAUCUUCCCCAAGAGUCCAUAUCGACGGGAUGGUUUGGCACCUCGAUGUCGGCUCGUCGCAUCCUGGGGCUGGAGUAGGUCCCAAGGGUUGGGCUGUUCGCCCAUUAAAGCGGUACGCGAGCUGGGUUUAGAACGUCGUGAGACAGUUCGGUCCCUAUCCGCUGCGCGCGUAGGAAAUUUGUGGAGGUCUGUCCUUAGUACGAGAGGACCGGGACGGACGAACCUCUGGUGUGCCAGUUGUUCCGCCAGGAGCAUGGCUGCUGG
Molecule: ribosomal RNA, 915 nt
Filed under: Acinetobacter baumannii
Lineage: Bacteria; Pseudomonadati; Pseudomonadota; Gammaproteobacteria; Moraxellales; Moraxellaceae
Description: bacterial LSU rRNA
Rfam family: Bacterial large subunit ribosomal RNA
Source: RNAcentral